This 2090-nucleotide long non-coding RNA is filed under the name Solanum tuberosum (potato). Its description in RNAcentral is "long non-coding RNA (STUB_LNC007807)". Lineage: Eukaryota; Viridiplantae; Streptophyta; Magnoliopsida; Solanales; Solanaceae. The record is from RNAcentral.
CGGGACGGCAUCUUCUGCUACUACGACGGUAGAAUCAACGUUAGACGACAUCGUUAAAUGGGGUGUGUGUGGUUUUGUUUAUAGCAAAUUGAGUGGCUUUUAAAUAAAAGGGUGGAGGAAUGGGUAGUACUAGAGUGGUGCAAGAUAGCAAAGGUGGUGGGGUGGUGGAGAUUGUUGUUGUAUUGAUGAUGUUGAGUGAAAUAUAAAAGUAGAGGAAAAUAGGGUGGUGAGUGGUGAUGGUGGGUGGGGAAUGGGUGGCUAGUGCUAGAUAGGUGCAAGAUAGCAUAGGUGGUGGGGUUGGUUGAGGUUGUUGUAUGAUUGAUGUUGAGACAUAAAGGGUGGUGUGAAAGAUAGGGGUUGGGGGAUGGGUUAGAGGCGCAAGAUAGCAAAUGUGAUGAGGUGGUGGAGGUUGUAUGAUGAUGAUGAUGUUGAGUGAGAUAUAAAAUGAGUAGGAAAAUAAGGUGGGUAAUGGCCUAAUGGGUAGUGUUAGAGAGGCUCCAGAUAGCAAAGGUGGUAGGGUGGUUGAUGUUGAGACAUAAUCGAUGGUGUGAAUAAUGGGUAAAUAAUCUUUUGAUUAACCUAAAGUCCUUUGAAGAUCAGUAUUGAUGAGGGAUAGUAUAAAAAUAUUCACAUGUUAUCCAUCGACUAAUGAAUAAAGAUGAGGUGGUAGAGGUUAUUGUAUGAUGAUGUUGAAUGAGUAGGAAAAUAAGGUGGGGAAAUGGGUAGUGCUAGAGUGGCGCAAGAUAGCAAAAGUUAAGGGGUGGUUGAGGUUGUUGUACUUGUAUGAUGAUGAUGUUGAGACAUGGUGGGGGGUGGGGGGGGGGGGGAGGGGGGGGGGGUGUAAAAAAAAUUAGGGGUAGGCUGGGUGUAACCGUUUGUUGUUUCUCGGCGAUUUGUUGAUUAUUAGAUCUGAUUGCUGCAACAGUAGUACCAUUUUCCAUGGCGUCCAUGUUAUCAAAGAAGAACCAAGAUGAGAAAAACCUACCGGUCGGGCAGGAAAGGGAUCUCUGCUUCUCAGCACGGUAGCGUUGCCGGAGUUUUUCCAUUUUGUGUCGGCACUGAGCUGAUGUUUUCGCCGGAGAAGCAUCUGGGCAGCGGCUGGUCACGGUGGCUGCCACCGCAUCCCAGUCAGCCGUCCGUAGGUACCCACGGCGGAGCGCGUACCAUCGUUCACGGUAGGCUUCAAUAAGAGCUAAAGUCUCUUCUUGGGUCCAACACGGCGGUGGAAAUCUCCUCGCCGGCGGCGGUGGCUUCUCCUCCGGGACGGCAUCUUCUGCUACUACGACGGUAGAAUCAACGUUAGACGACAUCGUUAAAUGGGGUGUGUGUGGUUUUGUUUAUAGCAAAUUGAGUGGCUUUUAAAUAAAAGGGUGGAGGAAUGGGUAGUACUAGAGUGGUGCAAGAUAGCAAAGGUGGUGGGGUGGUGGAGAUUGUUGUUGUAUUGAUGAUGUUGAGUGAAAUAUAAAAGUAGAGGAAAAUAGGGUGGUGAGUGGUGAUGGUGGGUGGGGAAUGGGUGGCUAGUGCUAGAUAGGUGCAAGAUAGCAUAGGUGGUGGGGUUGGUUGAGGUUGUUGUAUGAUUGAUGUUGAGACAUAAAGGGUGGUGUGAAAGAUAGGGGUUGGGGGAUGGGUUAGAGGCGCAAGAUAGCAAAUGUGAUGAGGUGGUAGUGGUGAAGGUUGAGGUAGUUGAAUGAUGAUGUUGAGAGGUAGGGGGGUGGACAUUGAAUUUUGGCAAGUUGUUUGCUUAAUAGUGGGUGGGGGGAUUAUGAUGAAUGAUGACACACAAAAGGAUAAGGGGGAGAGAGAUAGUGUCUUUGAUAAUGCUAACAUGCACAUCCUACACCUACUCCACUAAACCACCACCACCACCCCUACUCACUUUUCUAGAUAUUUUAGUGACCCAUCCCCACCUUACCCCUACCCCUAGUGGUUUGAGGGGGUAGGGGGUCUAGCAAUUGUUGUGUCAUUAAAAACAAGCCCAUGACAGAUGGCUUAGUGAAAUGUCCAAUAUCACUCUAGUAUAUGAUAUAGUAUGGUGGGCAAAUGAAGGUACCAACCAAUAAGAUGGGUGGCUUCAUUGACCAAAAUUUCCC